RNAcentral lists this long non-coding RNA (477 nucleotides) under Mus musculus (house mouse). Its description in RNAcentral is "predicted gene, 34297". Lineage: Eukaryota; Metazoa; Chordata; Mammalia; Rodentia; Muridae. The record is from RNAcentral.
GACAACGGCAACCGGAAACCGGUGCCAUCUUGGAGUUGGCUUCCCACACAGGGGACCCUCUGACUGAACCAUACAAAGCAAGAGAAAUUUAUUGUUCCAGCGCUCUGGGGUCGCCCUGCACCCAAAGGAGAGGCAGCGACUCCAGGCAGGCCUAUGUCACCUGCCUUGAAGAUUCUCUUCGGCCGGGGCUGGAGGACCUGAGUUUAAGUUCCCUGAAUUCAACUGAGAACACGGGAAAAGAAGGAGUUGGUUCGUGUGAUUCUGAAGGAAUCUGUUCCAAGAUCUGCAGGGCAAGUUGGCUGAAAAGACGCCGGAGAGCCAAUGGUACCUUCCUGCUCUGAAGAAAGGCAUGCUCAAGGAGACACAGCCAAUGCUUUCGUCUGAAUCCAAAGUCCACAGUUGCCGGAGGAACUGAGUCAUACAGUCACAGGAAUCUCUUCAUGAUGGAGGGGAAUGAAUUCCGGGAGAUAAAAGCAG